UGGGGGUCUUCUUAUCGAGGAGGCUCACCGCGUGGGUUCCUUGGGAUCCACCAUUUAUCAAUAUAACACCGAAGAUAUCCAUGUCAGAUGACUGUCUUUAUCUCCUCCCUGAACUGCCAGCAUUCCUCUGUAUCAUAUUUGUAGUUGCGGUGGUACCUACAGUACUUCCUCGAAUUUUUUGCUCGCAUCGGAGCAAGCAUCCUCUU
This 206-nucleotide long non-coding RNA is filed under the name Elaeis guineensis (African oil palm). Its description in RNAcentral is "long non-coding RNA (EGUI_LNC021059)". Lineage: Eukaryota; Viridiplantae; Streptophyta; Magnoliopsida; Arecales; Arecaceae. The record is from RNAcentral.